UUGCAUCUCAAGAUGAUGACUCACUGGGUUGUCACUAUCCUCGAUGCAGCUACUUAGUAAGCAGUCCUAUGCUCGGAUGAAGAACCAAUAUUUCCCAAAUAACCAUAAAGACAUCCAAGUUCUAACCCUUUUAAAUUAGGAAGUUGGCUUAAGAAGGUUAAAGCUGCUGGUGACAGUAGCAGAAAGCCCCAAGUCAUCCAAGAAACAGCCACCAAGAUGCACACAAACCUCGCCUCCCACCAGGGAUUAGAUUCCUAGUCCGAUCCUGUAAUUUGAGAUGAUUCUUAUCCUAUAUAGUCCAGAAAUUCCACUGGACGUUGUCGUAAUGGAAUGAUAUACAUAAUGAACAAAUGCCUCCAUAAUUUUGUUUAGCAGAUUCAUGGAAAACCAAAUAACUAUCAAGAAAGAAAAAGGAUUACCAAAUAACUACGACUGUAGAUUAUUUUUCCCCAUGCUCAGAUCAUGUUAGCUGAAGGAAACGUAAUAUUUCUGGAUAGGAAUUAC
RNAcentral lists this long non-coding RNA (504 nucleotides) under Elaeis guineensis (African oil palm). Its description in RNAcentral is "long non-coding RNA (EGUI_LNC027080)". Lineage: Eukaryota; Viridiplantae; Streptophyta; Magnoliopsida; Arecales; Arecaceae. The record is from RNAcentral.